AUUGAACGCUGGCGGCAGGCCUAACACAUGCAAGUCGAACGGAGUGGCGGACGGGUGAGUAAUGUCUGGGAAACUGCCUGAUGGAGGGGGAUAACUACUGGAAACGGUAGCUAAUACCGCAUACUAUCAGAUGAGCCUAGGUCGGAUUGGCUAGUUGGUGGGGUAAAGGCCUACCAAGGCGACGAUCCGUAACUGGUAUGAGAGGAUGAUCAGUCACACUGGGACUGGGACACGGUGCAGACUCCUACGGAAGGCAGCAGUGGGGAAUAUUGGACAAUGGGCGAAAGCCUGAGCCAGCCAUGCCGCGUGUGUGAAGAAGGUCUUCGGAUUGUAAGGCACUUUAAGUUGGGAGGCGUUACCAACAGAAUAAGCGCCGGCUAACUUCGUGCCAGCAGCCGCGGUAAUAC
Molecule: ribosomal RNA, 407 nt
Filed under: uncultured bacterium
Lineage: Bacteria
Description: partial 16S ribosomal RNA
Rfam family: Bacterial small subunit ribosomal RNA
Source: RNAcentral